GACGAACGCUGGCGGCGUGCCUAAUACAUGCAAGUAGAACGCUGAAGAGAGGAGCUUGCUCUUCUUGGAUGAGUUGCGAACGGGUGAGUAACGCGUAGGUAACCUGCCUUGUAGCGGGGGAUAACUACUGGAAACGAUAGCUAAUACCGCAUAACAAUGGAUGACCCAUGUCAUUUUUUUGAAAGGGGCAAAUGCUCCACUACAAGAUGGACCUGCGUUGUAUUAGCUAGUAGGUGAGGUAACGGCUCUCCUAGGCGACGAUACAUAGCCGACCUGAGAGGGUGGACGGCCAAACUUGGACUGGGACAAGGGCCCAACUCCUACGGGGAGCAGCAAGAAGGAAACUUCGGCAAUGGGGGCAAACCUGAACGGGCAACGCCGGGUGGGUGAAGGAGGGUUUCGGAUCGUAAAGAUCUGUUGUAAGUGGAAAAAGAGAGUGGGAGGGAAAAGUUCACGCUUUGACGGUAGCUAACCAGAAAGGGACGGCUAACUACGUG
RNAcentral lists this ribosomal RNA (497 nucleotides) under uncultured bacterium. RNAcentral's name for it is "partial 16S ribosomal RNA". It matches the Rfam family "Bacterial small subunit ribosomal RNA", at positions 28 to 507 of the family's 1533-position model. The record is from RNAcentral.